This 546-nucleotide ribosomal RNA is filed under the name uncultured fungus. RNAcentral describes it as "eukaryotic LSU rRNA". The stretch from base 197 to 350 matches the Rfam family "5.8S ribosomal RNA". The record is from RNAcentral. Lineage: Eukaryota; Fungi.
UCCGUAGGUGAACCUGCGGAAGGAUCAUUACUGCUUGCUCAUGGCGCCGCCUCGGGAAACCGAGACAGCGUCAGGCAUGCCACCCUUGUCUAUGUUUACCAUUCGUUACUUCCCUCGGCAGGGAAACCUGCCGCUGGGGACAAACAAAACCUUUUGCAUUAAGCAUCAAAUUUCUGAAACCAAAUUUAAUAAUUACAACUUUUAACAAUGGAUCUCUUGGUUCUGGCAUCGAUGAAGAACGCAGCGAAAUGCGAUAAGUAGUGUGAAUUGCAGACUUUAGUGAAUCAUCGAAUCUUUGAACGCACAUUGCGCCCCUUGGUAUUCCAUUGGGCAUGCCUGUUCGAGCGUCAUUUACACCCUCAAGCUCUGCUUGGUGUUGGGCGUCUGUCCACGCUUCUCGCGUGGACUCGCCCCAAAUCUAUUGGCAGCGGCAUCGCCGGCUUCUCGCGCAGCACUUUGCGCUUCAGAAGAAUACGGCGGGCUUGCGUCCAUUAAGAACCCCAUCAGUUUGACCUCGAAUCAGGUAGGGAUACCCGCUGAACUUAA